RNAcentral lists this ribosomal RNA (526 nucleotides) under Bombus sibiricus. RNAcentral describes it as "partial 16S ribosomal RNA". The stretch from base 374 to 526 matches the Rfam family "Bacterial large subunit ribosomal RNA", at positions 2473 to 2626 of the family's 2925-position model. Lineage: Eukaryota; Metazoa; Arthropoda; Insecta; Hymenoptera; Apidae. The record is from RNAcentral.
GGCUUGAUGAUAAUAAUUUUAAGUCGAUCUGCCCAAUGAUUAAAAUUUAAUGGCUGCAGUAUAAUUGACUGUACAAAGGUAGCAUAAUCAAUUGUUUCUUAAUUAGAAUCUAGGAUGAAAGAAUUAAUGAGAUAUAUACUGUCUCAUAUAUAUUUAAUUAAAUUAAAAUUUUAGUAAAAAUGCUGAAAUAAAUUUAUGGGACGAUAAGACCCUAUAGAAUUUUAUAUUAAUAUUUAAAUUAAAUUUAUUUUUAGAUGUUAAUAUUUAAUUGGGAGGAUUAAUAAAUUUAAAUAACUUUAUUUUAAAUAAAAACUUUAAUUUAAGAAUUAUUAAUGAUCUUGUAUUAUAAAUUAUAAGAAAAAAUUACCUUAGGGAUAACAGCGUAAUAUCUUUUUAAAGAUCAAAUUGAUAAAGAUGAUUGCGACCUCGAUGUUGAAUUAAGAUAAAUUUUAAAUGGAGAAAUUUAAUAAUUAAGUCUGUUCGACUUUUAAAAUCUUACAUGAUUUGAGUUCAUAUCGACGUGAGU